RNAcentral lists this ribosomal RNA (253 nucleotides) under uncultured bacterium. Its description in RNAcentral is "partial 16S ribosomal RNA". It matches the Rfam family "Bacterial small subunit ribosomal RNA", at positions 524 to 776 of the family's 1533-position model. The record is from RNAcentral.
UACAGAGGUCCCAAGCGUUGUUCGGAUUCAUUGGGCGUAAAGGGUGCGUAGGCGGCGCGGUAAGUCGGGUGUGAAAUCUCGGAGCUUAACUCCGAAACUGCAUUCGAUACUGCCGUGCUUGAGGACUGGAGAGGAGACUGGAAUUUACGGUGUAGCGGUGAAAUGCGUAGAGAUCGGGAGGAACACCAGAGGCGAAGGCGGCGACCUGGACAGAUACUGACACUCAACUGCGAAAGCGUGGGGAGCAAACAGG